CUCCCAAUACUCAAAAGGCAAAGCAAUCACAAUCUGCAAGAAUACUACCGCAUACCAAACCCUUUCCCAAUUCUUUUCUAUUACUUCCUUUCCGCCUAGUUUGCUGACUCCCAACAAAUUGCAUAGCCUAACUUUGUUGCUUCGUUUCCGCCUUGUUGCUUCUUCCAGACAGUACUCUAGCGAAUCUCCAUCUCCUCUCUAUUGUCUUAACUUCAGAAUCGUCAAAGUUUUGGAGAAACAACAGAUGAUGCAUUUAGGGUUGUGUUUGGAAAGGAGCAGCCUGGUCGGGUUAGAUGCUAUGGUAGAUCGGUGACGAGAAGCUCUCUGAAAAAAGAUGAAGAAAUCACCAAACUUAAACAACAACAUGCCAUCGAAAUAACUUCUCUGAAGGAAGAAAUGAAGGAAAUGAUGAGAGAAGAAAUGCGAUGUCUUUUUAGUUCCUUCACUCGGUUGAUGCAAAUAGUGCACAAGCUAUGAGAGGCAAUAAUCUACCACAUUCUUCUAGCUCAACUCAUGCCCCGAGUCUUGAAAAGGAAAAUACCGGUGAUGCAAUUGGAAAUGGUGACCACAAAUAAAUUUGAUUCAUCAAAGUGAAUGGUGAAAACCUUUUGAACAAUUGUAAUGUUUAUUUUUUUUAUAUUUAUAUUAUAAUUAAAUAUGAAUACAUUUGGUUUUGUCGAGGUCUUUGCUAGUGAUCUUCUUGAACCAACAAUGCUUUAUUACUAUAUAGAUAGUACGCAAAGUAUGUUUCAUUGUUGAA
This is a long non-coding RNA of Nicotiana tabacum (common tobacco), 760 nucleotides long. RefSeq lists it as uncharacterized. NCBI's taxonomy places the organism in Eukaryota, Viridiplantae, Streptophyta, Magnoliopsida, Solanales, Solanaceae. The record is from RefSeq and is a predicted model, not a curated record.